RNAcentral lists this long non-coding RNA (257 nucleotides) under Elaeis guineensis (African oil palm). Its description in RNAcentral is "long non-coding RNA (EGUI_LNC025845)". The record is from RNAcentral. Lineage: Eukaryota; Viridiplantae; Streptophyta; Magnoliopsida; Arecales; Arecaceae.
GUGUGGGGGGCAGAAGAGCAAACUGAGGAAGAAGAAGAAACAAUAUUUGGAAGGCAUUAUUUUUUUUCUGAUAAUAAUUUUUUAGGAAAGUACAUUUCUCACAAUGGCACUAUCAUCAUACUACUAAUGAUAGCAAGCCAUAUUGUAAAUAGAAUUUUAAUCCACAAUGAAAGUCUGACUAACCUCUUGCUUUUUGAUGUUUUGUGAAGGAUAAAAUUACUCACCAACCCAAAGGAAGCAUGGGCAGAGUAGAGGCA